This 31-nucleotide non-coding RNA is filed under the name Mus musculus (house mouse). The record is from RNAcentral. Lineage: Eukaryota; Metazoa; Chordata; Mammalia; Rodentia; Muridae.
UGUAAAUAACAUGAACCAAGAUAAUUAGGGA